UUGACUUCAACAUGAAAGGUUACAGGACAGGGCUGCUGCUUCUGGCUAUCUGCUGGACAGGUAUUGAUGGCCAGACUCUGACACAGUCUGAGUCCGUGCUUAAAAGACCUGGAGAAACCCACAAACUGACCUGUACAGGCUCUGGAUUCUCAUUCGGUAGCUACUGGAUGAACUGGAUAAGACAGGCUCCUGGGAAAGGACUGGAAUGGGUUGCUACUGAAGCUCGAGGUAGCCAGUACUACUCACAGUCAGUCCAGGGCAGGUUUACUGUCUCCAGAGACAAUGGCAGAGAGCAGCUGUUUCUGCAGAUGAACAGCCUGAAGACAGAAGAUUCUGCUGUUUAUUAUUGUGCCAGAGACUCACAGUGACUGAAGUGGGUUAGGCAGCU
Non-coding RNA from Xiphophorus hellerii (green swordtail), 388 nucleotides. Lineage: Eukaryota; Metazoa; Chordata; Actinopteri; Cyprinodontiformes; Poeciliidae. The record is from the annotation of a RefSeq genome assembly.